AAAAGCAGAGAAGCCAUGGAUGCAGCUUGACCUAAACAGAUGGUAUUGAUUGGAGACCUUAUAUACUGCAUUGUAUCAUAAAUAGCAAGACCAGCAGUGACUUGGCCGCCGGGGGAAUUGAGGUACAUGUAGAUGGGUUUGGAAGGGUUCUCAGACUCGAGAAAGAGAAGCUGAGCAACCACGACAUGAGCCGUGUCAUCGUUAAUUGGACCAUUGAUGCAAACAAUUCGCUCCUUUAGAAGCCUGGAGAAGAUAUCGUAAGCUCUCUCUCCGCGAGAAGAGUGCUCUAUCACCAUUGGAAUCAGACUGUAAGCACGAGUGGCCCUCAUCGACGGGUUCGACAACAAGGGAAUUUUGUUCCUAAUGGCGGCGUUGGCAAAGAGUUUGGCGCUAGAGAUGAGGCCCCUCAUAGAGACGGUGGCGGGGGGAGUGGUGGAAUUGGGAGAAGACAAUCGGAAAUUUGGAGGAAAUUUGGGGAUUAAGGGUGUAAGUUCGGCGGAGGGUUUGAUUGAGAUUGAGAAUGGCAUAGAGAAUUAUUUAUUUAUUUGAAUGAAAAUGGUUUUGAUUUCACAAAACUCAGAUUGAUUUUGUUAUGGGAUGUGCAGUUUGCGGCCCUAAUUUAUGUUUUAGCUAAAUC
This 637-nucleotide unclassified non-coding RNA is filed under the name Hevea brasiliensis (rubber tree). Lineage: Eukaryota; Viridiplantae; Streptophyta; Magnoliopsida; Malpighiales; Euphorbiaceae. The record is from RNAcentral.